RNAcentral lists this ribosomal RNA (818 nucleotides) under uncultured bacterium. Its description in RNAcentral is "bacterial SSU rRNA". It matches the Rfam family "Bacterial small subunit ribosomal RNA", at positions 62 to 869 of the family's 1533-position model. The record is from RNAcentral.
UCGACGGCAGCACAGCAGAGCUUGCUCUGUGGGUGGCGAGUGGCGGACGGGUGAGUAAUGCAUCGGGACCUACCCAGACGUGGGGGAUAACCUCGGGAAACCGGGACUAAUACCGCAUACGUCCUACGGGAGAAAGCGGGGGAUCUUCGGACCUCGCGCGGUUGGACGGACCGAUGUGCGAUUAGCUAGUUGGUAGGGUAAAGGCCUACCAAGGCGACGAUCGCUAGCUGGUCUGAGAGGAUGAUCAGCCACACUGGGACUGAGACACGGCCCAGACUCCUACGGGAGGCAGCAGUGGGGAAUAUUGGACAAUGGGCGCAAGCCUGAUCCAGCAAUGCCGCGUGUGUGAAGAAGGCCUUCGGGUUGUAAAGCACUUUUAUCAGGAACGAAAUACCACGGGUCAAUAACCGGUGGGGCUGACGGUACCUGAGGAAUAAGCACCGGCUAACUUCGUGCCAGCAGCCGCGGUAAUACGAAGGGUGCAAGCGUUAAUCGGAAUUACUGGGCGUAAAGGGUGCGUAGGCGGUUCGUUAAGUCUGUUGUGAAAUCCCCGGGCUCAACCUGGGAAUGGCAAUGGAUACUGGCGAGCUAGAGUGUGUCAGAGGAUGGUGGAAUUUCCGGUGUAGCGGUGAAAUGCGUAGAGAUCGGAAGGAACAUCAGUGGCGAAGGCGGCCAUCUGGGACAACACUGACGCUGAAGCACGAAAGCGCGGGGAGCAAACAGGAUUAGAUACCCUGGUAGUCCACGCCCUAAACGAUGCGAACUGGAUGUUGGUCUNCACUCGGAGAUCAGUGUCGAAGNUAACGCGUUAAGUUCGC